Molecule: ribosomal RNA, 716 nt
Filed under: uncultured Providencia sp.
Lineage: Bacteria; Pseudomonadati; Pseudomonadota; Gammaproteobacteria; Enterobacterales; Morganellaceae
Description: bacterial SSU rRNA
Rfam family: Bacterial small subunit ribosomal RNA
Source: RNAcentral
CUGGUAGUUCACGCUGUAAACGAUGUCGAUUUGGAGGUUGUUUCCUUGAGGAGUGGCUUCCGGAGCUAACGCGUUAAAUCGACCGCCUGGGGAGUACGGCCGCAAAGGUAAAACUCAAAUGAAUUGACGGGGGCCCGCACAAGCGGUGGAGCAUGUGGUUUAAUUCGAUGCAACGCGAAGAACCUUACCUACUCUUGACAUCCAGAGAAUUUAGCAGAGAUGCUUUAGUGCCUUCGGGAACUCUGAGACAGGUGCUGCAUGGCUGUCGUCAGCUCGUGUUGUGAAAUGUUGGGUUAAGUCCCGCAACGAGCGCAACCCUUAUCCUUUGUUGCCAGCACAUUAUGGUGGGAACUCAAAGGAGACUGCCGGUGAUAAACCGGAGGAAGGUGGGGAUGACGUCAAGUCAUCAUGGCCCUUACGAGUAGGGCUACACACGUGCUACAAUGGCGUAUACAAAGAGAAGCGACCUCGCGAGAGCAAGCGGAACUCAUAAAGUACGUCGUAGUCCGGAUUGGAGUCUGCAACUCGACUCCAUGAAGUCGGAAUCGCUAGUAAUCGUAGAUCAGAAUGCUACGGUGAAUACGUUCCCGGGCCUUGUACACACCGCCCGUCACACCAUGGGAGUGGGUUGCAAAAGAAGUAGGUAGCUUAACCUUCGGGAGGGCGCUUACCACUUUGUGAUUCAUGACUGGGGUGAAGUCGUAACAAGGUAACCA